Molecule: long non-coding RNA, 2564 nt
Organism: Bicyclus anynana (squinting bush brown)
Lineage: Eukaryota; Metazoa; Arthropoda; Insecta; Lepidoptera; Nymphalidae
Exons: 3
Source: RefSeq, a predicted model, not a curated record
UCAUUUGAACAUUUCGUGUAGUACAGUGUAGACUGUAGCUUGUGUUCUUUUACAGUGAAAUAAAUAGAGAUGGUUUCAAGGCGUUUGUUGCGCGCGCGCCUACGUCACUAGAUUUUCCCGCUGUGACAAACCGCAUUAAGUAUUUGACCUGACUCAUUUGUUGCCAUUUUGGAUUUCAUAAGUACGAUAUCACCAUACGUAUCGCCCGCUGUCUCGGCUUCCAUUUAAAGAAGCAACAUAGCAAGAAAUGGGGCUCUGCUUUUCGUUUGACUGCGGGGACUGUGACCUUUGCUGCAAUCCGUGUUGCCUGGCCCUCAGCGCCUGCUGCCUGGUGCCCUGCCUCUGUCCAAACGCUUGCGGACAGCAACAACAACAACCGCCGCCCACAGUGAUAGUUCAACAACCACCCGUGAUAGAACAACCUCCGCCGCCACCUGGCUACCCCUAUCCCCCACAAGGCGGUUACCCCGGCUACCCACCACCUGGAGGAUACCCACCACCUGGAGGCUACCCCCCGCAAGGAGGCUAUCCCCCACAAGGAGGCUACCCGUACCCAGACCAUAUGCACAGAUAACCGAACUCUAGAAAUCUCAAAAUCUUACAACUAUAUUAAGAAUGGGUUGUAACAUAUCAUGUCGUCCGUGUUGCUGCUGCUGCAUCCCCUGCCUCUGCUGCGACUGCUGCGCCGACCCCCCUCGCCCCGCCGUCAUCCAUCAGCACCAUCAUGUUAACGUGGUCCAAGUGCCGCCCGCACGCAACGGACAAUUCCAACCUCCUCCACCGUAUAAUAGAUAACGUCGUAAACCUACAUAAUACAUUAGUAACAGUGGCGGAGCUAGGUAACCAAGGGCCCUGGUGUAAAAAAUGGGGCCGCACUGCUAUAAUAUAAACUGGUUAGGUGUUAUCAACUAAAAAUAACUUAGACCAAUUAUAGGAGGACCUGUAUCGCACUCAUAGUCACGAACAAAGUUGUCUGUCAUUUUCUGAGGAAAACGAGCUUAGAUUUUGUAUAUAUCUUAUACUAAACUAGAAGUUUUUGCCCGUUUUUUACACAAUUCAAUUACACAAAAAGGUAUUUUUACGGAGCUCUUUAACCGACGAACGCGAUAACAACUAUUUAACAUCGAUUCUAUAGAGACAGUUCUUAUAAUCGCAUUAGAUCGUUGAUCAUAUACUUUAACAGAAAAGUAACGUCUAGCGAGGCAGGCCCUAUACAUUAAUUGGUGUGAGAAAAAUAAUCAUCAGCUCUUUUUAGUUUUUGUAACUUUCUAAGUUCAUUCAAGGGCCCCCUGGGUAUUGCACCGUCUAGCCCCGUCUAGCCCCGAGCUACACCAUUGAUUAGUAUGGACAAUUCUAACCUCCACCACCUUAAGUAAUAAUAGAUAACAAUGACGUAAAUCCUAUGUUUAGAAUGGCAAACUAUUCCUUUAUCAUACACACACACACCUUCAUCAUUCAUUAAUACCAUUAAGAAACUAUUCAUUUAAUAAGCUCAAAAAAUAAUAAAAUAAUUAAUAAUUUAUCAGAUAUGAGCCUGUUUCACCAUAUUCUUAUAAGUGGUUAGUAUAAAAGUAAAAGCCACUUUAUAGCCACCAAAUUAGCCCACUACAGAGCCAGGCCUUCCAAAUAAAAGUGAACACGAGUCUCCUCUUAGAAUGGGAGGCCUUAGUCCACCAUGCUGGCCCAAUGCGGAUUGGCAGACUUCACACACGUAGAGCUACUUAACAUAAAUAUUUUCCUACCUAAUUCUGUAUUCAGUAUUCAGUAUUUGUUAUCCGGCCAAACAUCUAGCCUUUUGAUCUCUAUACAAAUAUAGACUUCUUAUUUGUCGUUUUGUUAUUCAAAUUCGUAAGAUUGCGUAAAGAAAAUCUAUGUUGUAUUGUUUGCAGUUAGCAUUUAUCACUGCGUCGUUAAAUAUUGUUAAAAGAUCUAGUAUUAAGUUUGUUUAUAUAAGAAUUUUGUUCAUUUAAUUUAUCAAUUUAUACCUACUUCAUAAGUGUAAUUUUAAACAAAAUAAAACAUUAUAUUCAUGAUUUUUGCAAUAUGUAAGAUAUAAUACGUAUAAGCACCUAAAUUAAUAUAUUUUAUUGGACACCAUUGGUCUAUAACAGGGUUAAAUACAUAAGAGUGUAUCGAGUCGGAAUAUAUUUAUUUAGAACUGCAAAUUGCCCUUGAAAUACUAUGAACUUCUUCAGUCUACGAGUAACUGCAUAUCAACUGCAAUUUCAAAACUGCUUUUGCAUAGAGUUCAUUCAAAUGUAAUCCGUGGAUUUUAAUUUGUGUACAUUAGUCACUUUAUAGGAUUUACAAUAAUUGUUAUGUUUUUUUAUUUAGUUCGAAUUUUUAUUUAUGCCAGCGAAUUACAGGUAUUGAAAGUCUCAUUGCAGAUAAUACGAAUACCCGUUUAUAUUCGUUGAUAAAUAUUUACAUACUGAAAUACUUUAAGUAGGUACUCGUACUCGUAUCUACUACUAAAUAAAUAUUUAUAUGUAUUUUAAUAAAUAUCUUUUAUUAGAUUUAAGCUGGUUUUCUAAAUAAAAUAAAAUUAAAUGUGUAAAAUAUGA